RNAcentral lists this ribosomal RNA (789 nucleotides) under uncultured bacterium. Its description in RNAcentral is "bacterial SSU rRNA". It matches the Rfam family "Bacterial small subunit ribosomal RNA", at positions 28 to 806 of the family's 1533-position model. The record is from RNAcentral.
GAUGAACGCUAGCUACAGGCUUAACACAUGCAAGUCGCGGGGCAGCAUGAAGUCAGCUUGCUGACUUUGAUGGCGACCGGCGCACGGGUGAGUAACGCGUAUCCAACCUGCCUGUUACCACGGCACAGCCCGUCGAAAGGCGGAUUAAUGCCGUAUGUGGUCCUUUGCGGGCAUCUAAUUAGGACUAAAGGUUCAGCGGUAACGGAUGGGGAUGCGUCCGAUUAGCUAGACGGCGGGGUAACGGCCCACCGUGGCUACGAUCGGUAGGGGUUCUGAGAGGAAGGUCCCCCACACUGGAACUGAGACACGGUCCAGACUCCUACGGGAGGCAGCAGUGAGGAAUAUUGGUCAAUGGGCGUAAGCCUGAACCAGCCAAGUAGCGUGAGGGAAGACUGCCCUAUGGGUUGUAAACCUCUUUUGUGCGGGGAUAAAGUGUGGGACGUGUCCCAUAUUGCAGGUACCGCACGAAUAAGGACCGGCUAAUUCCGUGCCAGCAGCCGCGGUAAUACGGAAGGUCCGGGCGUUAUCCGGAUUUAUUGGGUUUAAAGGGAGCGCAGGCCGUCCUUUAAGCGUGCUGUGAAAUGCCGCGGCUCAACCGUGGCACUGCAGCGCGAACUGGAGGACUUGAGUACGCACGAGGUAGGCGGAAUUCGUGGUGUAGCGGUGAAAUGCUUAGAUAUCACGAAGAACUCCGAUUGCGAAGGCAGCUUACCGGAGCGCAACUGACGCUGAGGCUCGAAAGCGCGGGUAUCGAACAGGAUUAGAUACCCUGGUAGCCCGCGCGGUAAA